RNAcentral lists this transfer RNA (88 nucleotides) under Staphylococcus phage vB_SauM_Remus. Its description in RNAcentral is "tRNA-Ser". It matches the Rfam family "tRNA". Rfam says of the family: Transfer RNA (tRNA) molecules are approximately 80 nucleotides in length. Their secondary structure includes four short double-helical elements and three loops (D, anti-codon, and T loops). Further hydrogen bonds mediate the characteristic L-shaped molecular structure. tRNAs have two regions of fundamental functional importance: the anti-codon, which is responsible for specific mRNA codon recognition, and the 3' end, to which the tRNAs corresponding amino acid is attached (by aminoacyl-tRNA synthetases). tRNAs cope with the degeneracy of the genetic code in two manners: having more than one tRNA (with a specific anti-codon) for a particular amino acid; and 'wobble' base-pairing, i.e. permitting non-standard base-pairing at the 3rd anti-codon position. RNAcentral also lists the same sequence under 8 other names. Lineage: Duplodnaviria; Heunggongvirae; Uroviricota; Caudoviricetes; Herelleviridae. The record is from RNAcentral.
GGAGUAUUACUCAAGUGGCUUAAGAGGUUGGGUUGCUAACUCAAUAGGUGAUUUAUUUCACUCAUAGGUUCAAAUCCUAUAUGCUCCG